UACAGAGGUCCCAAGCGUUGUUCGGAUUCAUUGGGCGUAAAGGGUGCGUAGGCGGCGCGGUAAGUCGGGUGUGAAAUCUCGGAGCUUAACUCCGAAACUGCAUUCGAUACUGCCGUGCUUGAGGACUGGAGAGGAGACUGGAAUUUACGGUGUAGCGGUGAAAUGCGUAGAUAUCGUAAGGAAGACCAGUGGCGAAAGCGACUCUCUGGACGGCAACUGACGCUGAGGCACGAAAGCGUGGGGAGCAAACAGG
RNAcentral lists this ribosomal RNA (253 nucleotides) under uncultured bacterium. Its description in RNAcentral is "partial 16S ribosomal RNA". It matches the Rfam family "Bacterial small subunit ribosomal RNA", at positions 524 to 776 of the family's 1533-position model. The record is from RNAcentral.